AAGCUCGUAGUUGAAUUUCGGACCCGACCGGGCGGUCCGCCUAACGGUGUGUACUGUCUGGCCGGGCCUUACCUCUUGGUGAGCCGGCAUGCCCUUCACUGGGUGCGUCGGGGAACCAGGACCUUUACCUUGAGAAAAUUAGAGUGUUCAAAGCAGGCUUACGCCGGAAUACAUUAGCAUGGAAUAAUAAAAUAGGACGUGCGGUUCUAUUUUGUUGGUUUCUAGAGUCGCCGUAAUGAUUAAUAGGGAUAGUUGGG
RNAcentral lists this ribosomal RNA (257 nucleotides) under uncultured Basidiomycota. RNAcentral's name for it is "partial 18S ribosomal RNA". It matches the Rfam family "Eukaryotic small subunit ribosomal RNA", at positions 624 to 886 of the family's 1831-position model. The record is from RNAcentral. Lineage: Eukaryota; Fungi; Basidiomycota.